This 357-nucleotide long non-coding RNA is filed under the name Cavia porcellus (domestic guinea pig). RNAcentral describes it as "lncRNA (ENSCPOG00000033519.1)". Lineage: Eukaryota; Metazoa; Chordata; Mammalia; Rodentia; Caviidae. The record is from RNAcentral.
UGGCUAUGGUCACCCCCAGCCCUACUGUGUCUGUGUGCAGGCUGGUGGAAAUUACCCAGAAGCUGGAUAUGCUUAAAGAGGAGCCUGGGAUCAUCAAUCGGAUGCCAGACUGUCCUGGAGUGCAGAACGCGCCCCACAGAGGUCCCCUGAGCCAGAAGGGCUCCUUUGGCCCGUCCCCUGUGAGUGGCGGUGAAUGCUCCCCGCCCCCAGGCGCACAGCCCCCUGGAUGGCCGCCAUCUGCAAGCCUGAACUUGGCACGCCAUGACAUUGCAAGAGCCGACUUCGGUGAGCCUCUCCAGGGCCUCUAGUCCCGGACUCCGGGACACCAUGCUGCCUUGCCCCGGGCAUGGUUCCCUG